This 402-nucleotide ribosomal RNA is filed under the name uncultured bacterium. RNAcentral's name for it is "bacterial SSU rRNA". It matches the Rfam family "Bacterial small subunit ribosomal RNA", at positions 355 to 774 of the family's 1533-position model. The record is from RNAcentral.
UGGGGAAUCUUGCACAAUGGGGGCAACCCUGAUGCAGCGACGCCGCGUGAGCGAUGAAGCCCUUCGGGGCGUAAAGCUCUUUCGACCGGAACGAUAAUGACGGUACCGGGAGAAGAAGCUGCGGCUAACUACGUGCCAGCAGCCGCGGUAAUACGUAGGCAGCAAGCGUUGUUCGGAGUUACUGGGCGUAAAGAGUGCGUAGGCGGUUUUCUAAGUUCGGUGUGAAAUCUCCCGGCUUAACUGGGAGGGUGCGCCGAAGACUGGGAAGCUGGAGUGUGGGAAAGGCAGGCGGAAUUCCUGGUGUAGCGGUGAAAUGCGUAGAUAUCAGGAUGAACACCGGCGGUGUAGACGGCUUGCUAGACCAUAACUGACGCUGAGGCACGAAAGCGUGGGUAGCAAACA